CAGCCGCCGCGGGAAUACGUAGGGUGCAAGCGUUAAUCGGAAUUACUGGGCGUAAAGCGUGCGCAGGCGGUGUUGUAAGACUGAUGUGAAAUCCCCGGGCUCAACCUGGGAACUGCAUUGGUGACUGCAACGCUGGAGUGCGGCAGAGGGGGAUGGAAUUCCGCGUGUAGCAGUGAAAUGCGUAGAUAUGCGGAGGAACACCGAUGGCGAAGGCGACUACCUGGACUGAUACUGACACUGAGGUGCGAAAGCGUGGGGAGCAAACAGGAUUAGAUACCCCAGUAGUCCCUGUCUCUUAUCC
RNAcentral lists this ribosomal RNA (301 nucleotides) under uncultured bacterium. Its description in RNAcentral is "partial 16S ribosomal RNA". It matches the Rfam family "Bacterial small subunit ribosomal RNA", at positions 509 to 809 of the family's 1533-position model. The record is from RNAcentral.